GUUUCAUUAAAAAGAGUUUCAUUUAUCUCACUUUUUUGGUUCUCCUUUAUUGAAAUCAAACCUCUGCAAAACUACUCUUUUAUUUUGAUCUCCAGUGAUCAUCAUCAAAUCUGGUGUUGGCUGAAGAGGUAGAUGAGAAAACAAAUGGGUGGUUAUAAAUGGAAUCAUGAUUUUGUAUGGGAUUCCGGUGGUGGAGGAAGAAUCCUCUCACACACACGGUGAAAAGUAGCAUGAUGGUAUCUCCUCUCAACAACAAACCAAUGACAACUUCUGAUGCUACUUCCAUCUGCUGCGUGAGCAAAUGCAUUUACUUGCUCUGAUGAAGUAGAAGACCUCAUCCAUAUAGAACCAAAAUCAGUUUUUAGGUCCUGUGAUGGGACAGUUCAUGGUUCGUUGGUAACAUUGACGACCUCAUGAAUGUUUUGAACAACUCAAAAUUGACGAAGAUUGAAAGCACAAUGAGGCAUGUGAAGCAAGUAGAAAGGGUAUCAUCUAAGAAACAUAGAGAACUAUGUUUGUUGAUCAAUUCGAAGCAAGAGUCACAUGAACUGUACACUAACGAACAACUGGCACUUGGUAGUGCUGUGAUCAAGCAGAUCAAAUUGGGUUAUAAUUAAUGGUUUUGUAUGGAUACUGGUGGAAGAGGAAGGAACCUCAUUGAUCCUUGAAUCGCACUAUGAUUUCUCCUCUCAAUAAGGUGAAUAAGAAAUCAGAAACUUGAGACGGACGAUGCUAAGCACUUCAGAGGCUAUGUCCACUAUCCAGAACCAUAGACGGAUUUAUUUUUUUGACUCUUGAGAAGAGGGCCAGGAAAAAACUGUUGAAGGAGAUGGAGGAAAUGACAAAGAACAGGGAAUGGAGCUCAGAGAUGCACUCAGAGAGUUGGUCGAGGAAUCCGACAACAAGGGCCUGAUAAAGGGUUCUAGACCCAUUCAGAGUGGUUCUUUAUGAUGCUACUGCUGAAUAUCUCUAUUUAGUAUUUACUUAUUUAGGAAUCAAUGAUGAUGAGAGUUCAUGGAUGACCUUGCUUGCUUACAUAUGAGAGUUUCCGUUUCAGUUUGUUUGUCUAAGACAAGAUUUGAGUGCUAGAUUCUCUGCAAUCCCAACAACAAUUUCUUAACCGGCCCAAGUGAACUUUUUGGGAAUGUAUUGAUGGAUUGGAACUUCAAGAGGAACUCCAAAUUCUGGUCCAGGAAGCCAACAGUGAGGAACCAAUGCAGGAAGUCGAAAAUAUUUCCCUUCAUUGUGAGAACCAUGUUUGACUCAUUGAUGGUUUGCUUCGUUGCUGGUGGCGGUGGUGGAUCAUCUCAGUAAGUCUUUCGUGGUGGUACUGGUUUGCUUCUGCUGGUGGUAGUUAUUGGUUUUUUUAUGGUGGUUCUCCAUCCUUUUGUGAAUCAUACCAAUGAGAAGAUAAAUGAACUGAAAGCUGAAGCCGAGAGCAUAAGGUUAAAGGUAAAUCUUACCUUGAUUUGUUAUAUUGAUUCUCUACAUUUAGGAGUUUUUAGUGCUUUAGAUCUGUGCUUGGAUUCUCAAUAUUAGGUUUUUUAUUUUUUAUUUUAUUAUGGUUCAUUUUCUGAUUUCUAGUGUUCUUAGUUUCCUUUUCUUUUUUCCCCCUUCUUCUAUGCAUUUUCUAGUGUCAUCAAGUGUUUGUGCUGUGUUGACUUGUUUAAGCUAAUUUGGAAGCUGCAUUCUUAAUCUUUGUUUUGUCUGGAUGUUACUUUCUUUGAGUAUUCUGUGGAUGUUAGUUAUGGCUAUGGUGGCCUUCAUUUUCGGGUCUCCACUUAGCUGUAUCUGCAUGUUGAGUUUUCCAAACAAAUAAUGGGUUUAACUUGUUUCUGGAAUCGCUUUCGGCGUUGGCUCUUGAACUUUUUGUUAGGCUGUUUUAUAGGCAUGCUCAUGUUAGGCUUGUUGUUUAUAGGCAGGCUGAUGUACUAAGUUUGCCUUAAAUGUUCUUUAUCUGAUCUCUGGUAUUCAAAUGAACAAUAGUUUUGUUCUUUUUUAGAUUUUGAGAUUAGAUUAAGUUUGACAGCUAAUUAUAGUUUAUAUGCCUUAGGUAAUUAUAGUUUUGUAUGCGUUUAGUCUGGGUUUAAGAAACUAAUAGGUCCUUGACUUCAUAAUCUGUAGAGAAACAGUUUGUUUUAACUUUUAAUUAAUUCCUUCACAGUCCAGCACUUUGUUUGAUAUCCUUUCAUUAUAUGUGACGAAUUUUUGCCUCAAAUUUGUGGAUAGCUUUUAAACCAGUCUCUUUCAAAAUCACUUUUGUUGUAAUCAAUGUUGAAAUUUAUAUUUGAUUAACGCCGUAAGCAAAUGAAUUUUUGGGGUCAGAGUUGGUUACUCUUUGAUCGAGUCAUUGGGGUGUCUGUAAUUGGUGAAUUUCUUGAUGGUCGUGGAACUAGUUUAUAUGCUUGUAAGACUUCCAAUCAACAAGCAUGCAACACAUUUCUUAUUGAUUGUGCCUUGACUCAACAGAUUUGGAAUUCUUUGAAUUGUAUGAUUCAUGUAACGUGUUGGAAGGAGUGUGGCAUGUUUCAGGUUAAAAAUCUGCAAAUUGUGGAUCCUGAUAUUGUGAGGUUUUUCGGGUUUGAUUUUUUGCAAAUCUGGAAAGUUAGAUGCUCUUUAUUUUCGAAAGUGCUGAGGCACAUGUUAACAAGAUUGCCCAGCUCAUUAGGAUUUAGGAAUGAUUGGAGUGACUGGAAUAGACUGUGGCUAGUUCAGAUAACAUGAUUGAUAGAAAUGGGAGAUGGAAAUGACCAGAUGUACCUUUUGUAAAACUGAAUUUUGAUGCCGCUUUUAAAUUCGAAACUAAGUAUUCUUGGACUAAUCAUUGGGAAGUUUGCAGGAACUUGUGAUGGAGUUCCUGCAAAGAGAAAUGCAUUUUUUUCUUAGAGAUUACACUUUUCUUAGAGAUUACAACCAUGUAGCCGACUCUUCGGCAAAACAUUGUAUUAACCUCUUGCUAUGGAUGAAUGGUCUGACGACUAUCCUUCUUGAAAUUAAGAUGAGAAAUGAAUCUAUUUUUAAUGCACACUCCUUUAAAGAAUGCUAAUUUG
Molecule: long non-coding RNA, 3050 nt
Organism: Papaver somniferum (opium poppy)
Lineage: Eukaryota; Viridiplantae; Streptophyta; Magnoliopsida; Ranunculales; Papaveraceae
Exons: 6
Source: RefSeq, a predicted model, not a curated record